RNAcentral lists this ribosomal RNA (723 nucleotides) under Nostoc sp. 'Peltigera sp. K10 cyanobiont'. Its description in RNAcentral is "bacterial SSU rRNA". It matches the Rfam family "Bacterial small subunit ribosomal RNA", at positions 61 to 824 of the family's 1533-position model. Lineage: Bacteria; Bacillati; Cyanobacteriota; Cyanophyceae; Nostocales; Nostocaceae. RNAcentral also lists the same sequence under 6 other names. The record is from RNAcentral.
GUCGAACGGUGUCUUCGGACACAGUGGCGGACGGGUGAGUAACGCGUGAGAAUCUGGCUUUAGGUCUGGGACAACCACUGGAAACGGUGGCUAAUACCGGAUGUGCCCGUAAUUGGGUGAAAGGUUAACUGCCUGAAGAUGAGCUCGCGUCUGAUUAGCUAGUUGGAAGUGUAAUGGACUCCCAAGGCGACGAUCAGUAGCUGGUCUGAGAGGACGAUCAGCCACACUGGGACUGAGACACGGCCCAGACUCCUACGGGAGGCAGCAGUGGGGAAUUUUCCGCAAUGGGCGAAAGCCUGACGGAGCAAUACCGCGUGAGGGAGGAAGGCUCUUGGGUCGUAAACCUCUUUUCUCAGGGAAGAACACAAUGACGGUACCUGAGGAAUAAGCAUCGGCUAACUCCGUGCCAGCAGCCGCGGUAAUACGGAGGAUGCAAGCGUUAUCCGGAAUGAUUGGGCGUAAAGCGUCCGCAGGUGGCAAUGUAAGUCUGCUGUUAAAGAGUCUAGCUCAACUAGAUACAAGCAGUGGAAACUACAUAGCUAGAGUACGUUCGGGGCAGAGGGAAUUCCUGGUGUAGCGGUGAAAUGCGUAGAGAUCAGGAAGAACACCAGUGGCGAAGGCGCUCUGCUAGGCCGUAACUGACACUGAGGGACGAAAGCUAGGGGAGCGAAUGGGAUUAGAUACCCCAGUAGUCCUAGCCGUAAACGAUGGAUACUAGGCGUG